CCCUUAGAUGUUCCGGGCUGCACGCGCGCUACACUGACACUAUCAACGAGUGCUCCUGGUUUGAAAGGAUCGGGUAAUCUUUUGAAAUGGUGUCGUGAUGGGGAUAGAUCAUUGCAAUUAUUGAUCUUGAACGAGGAAUUCCUAGUAAAUGUGAGUCAUCAGCUCACGUUGAUUACGUCCCUGCCCUUUGUACACACCGCCCGUCGCUCCUACCGAUUGAGUGAACCGAUGAGUAGUCCGGAUUGCGAUCGACCUCGGUUAAUCGCGAGAAGUUCCGCAAAUCACUUCACUUAGAGGAAGGAGAAGUCGUAACA
RNAcentral lists this ribosomal RNA (314 nucleotides) under uncultured eukaryote. Its description in RNAcentral is "partial 18S ribosomal RNA". It matches the Rfam family "Eukaryotic small subunit ribosomal RNA", at positions 1470 to 1796 of the family's 1831-position model. The record is from RNAcentral.